AUGAUGGAUCCGUCUGGAUAUCGUAGUGUAUGCAAGGCAGGCCGACACGCCGCCGCUGUUCGAACUGAAAGCCUGUUUGCAGGAGCAAUCAGGUCUGCUUCGGUCGACGUCGUCGGUUUUCCAGCCGGUCGGAGCACCGGGCAGCAGCACUUUGAUCAUCCGCCCACGUUGGUCCCUCUGACUGUGAAGCAAGUGACCAUGCUUGCUCCUUCUAUCGAGCAGGGGGGCGCUGUCUAUUCACGGGACGCCUGUCAGCACGGUAUGCAUGAUCGCGAUGCAGUCUUGGUCGGUUUCUUAGUUUUCUCAUCGGAGAAACCACACACGGUGUUGCUACAGGCCCGGCUUCUGGGUAGGAUGCUUAACCGUAGGGAUAUGCCUGAGGAGAUAGAGUUCAUCCUCGCCGACGGCACCGGAGCCAUUCAGGCCAGGAUAUGGACCGCCCAGUCGGAGUACAUGCUGGCGUUGCGUUCUGUUAGGUUAUAUGGUUUUGCGAUUUUCCGUAUCUGUACGUUGCUGUUUUAUGUUGGUUGUGAACUGUUCCACUCUCACACCAUAAUAACAAAAAACAGUGAUGGCGACUACAUGAUAGUGAACGGAUCCAUAAAGGCCGAAGGUAGCCUGAAACACAUUCGGGUGUACUCGCUGAGUGUGGUGACAAACUACAAUGCAAUCACUCAUCACUUCCUUCAGUGCAUCUAUGUUCACUUAGAUCUUCGGAAAAAGUUCAAUGACAGGGAAAAUGAUAUUAGACGGAUGGACUUGGCCGUAGCUGCCCACGAGCAAUCAUCUCCUGUUUUGGACAUUAACAACAGGCUCUUCGACGACGUGCUGAGAGUAUUCUACCAUCCAGGGGUCCUUGAGCUGGAGAAUGGCGCUUCUUUCGCUCUCAUACAAUCUCAAACCGGCGCGGAUGCGGAUCAACUAAGGUCUGUUAUUGGAGCUCAUGUUGCCAUGGGCAACCUUUUCACCACCAUCGAUGAUGGUCACUACAAAUGCUCGUUCAACGGGUAG
RNAcentral lists this ribosomal RNA (1011 nucleotides) under Triticum aestivum (bread wheat). Its description in RNAcentral is "partial small subunit ribosomal RNA". Lineage: Eukaryota; Viridiplantae; Streptophyta; Magnoliopsida; Poales; Poaceae. The record is from RNAcentral.